CUGCCGGUGAUAAACCGGAGGAAGGUGGGGAUGACGUCAAGUCAUCAUGGCCCUUACGAGUAGGGCUACACACGUGCUACAAUGGCAGAUACAAAGUGAAGCGAACUCGCGAGAGCAAGCGGACCACAUAAAGUCUGUCGUAGUCCGGAUUGGAGUCUGCAACUCGACUCCAUGAAGUCGGAAUCGCUAGUAAUCGUAGAUCAGAAUGCUACGGUGAAUACGUUCCCGGGCCUUGUACACACCGCCCGUCACACCAUGGGAGUGGGUUGCAAAAGAAGUAGGUAGCUUAACCUUCGGGAGGGCGCUUACCACUUUGUGAUUCAUGACUGGGGUGAAGUCGUAACAAGGUAACCGUAGGGGAACCUGCGGUUGGAUCACCUCCU
Molecule: ribosomal RNA, 383 nt
Filed under: Yersinia enterocolitica
Lineage: Bacteria; Pseudomonadati; Pseudomonadota; Gammaproteobacteria; Enterobacterales; Yersiniaceae
Description: bacterial SSU rRNA
Rfam family: Bacterial small subunit ribosomal RNA
Source: RNAcentral